RNAcentral lists this ribosomal RNA (2925 nucleotides) under Escherichia coli. RNAcentral's name for it is "23S ribosomal RNA". It matches the Rfam family "Bacterial large subunit ribosomal RNA". Lineage: Bacteria; Pseudomonadati; Pseudomonadota; Gammaproteobacteria; Enterobacterales; Enterobacteriaceae. The record is from RNAcentral.
GGGUUGUGAGGUUAAGCGACUAAGCGUACACGGUGGAUGCCCUGGCAGUCAGAGGCGAUGAAGGACGUGCUAAUCUGCGAUAAGCGUCGGUAAGGUGAUAUGAACCGUUAUAACCGGCGAUUUCCGAAUGGGGAAACCCAGUGUGUUUCGACACACUAUCAUUAACUGAAUCCAUAGGUUAAUGAGGCGAACCGGGGGAACUGAAACAUCUAAGUACCCCGAGGAAAAGAAAUCAACCGAGAUUCCCCCAGUAGCGGCGAGCGAACGGGGAGCAGCCCAGAGCCUAAAUCAGUGUGUGUGUUAGUGGAAGCGUCUGGAAAGGCGCGCGAUACAGGGUGACAGCCCCGUACACAAAAAUGCACAUGCUGUGAGCUCGAUGAGUAGGGCGGGACACGUGGUAUCCUGUCUGAAUAUGGGGGGACCAUCCUCCAAGGCUAAAUACUCCUGACUGACCGAUAGUGAACCAGUACCGUGAGGGAAAGGCGAAAAGAACCCCGGCGAGGGGAGUGAAAAAGAACCUGAAACCGUGUACGUACAAGCAGUGGGAGCACGCUUAGGCGUGUGACUGCGUACCUUUUGUAUAAUGGGUCAGCGACUUAUAUUCUGUAGCAAGGUUAACCGAAUAGGGGAGCCGAAGGGAAACCGAGUCUUAACUGGGCGUUAAGUUGCAGGGUAUAGACCCGAAACCCGGUGAUCUAGCCAUGGGCAGGUUGAAGGUUGGGUAACACUAACUGGAGGACCGAACCGACUAAUGUUGAAAAAUUAGCGGAUGACUUGUGGCUGGGGGUGAAAGGCCAAUCAAACCGGGAGAUAGCUGGUUCUCCCCGAAAGCUAUUUAGGUAGCGCCUCGUGAAUUCAUCUCCGGGGGUAGAGCACUGUUUCGGCAAGGGGGUCAUCCCGACUUACCAACCCGAUGCAAACUGCGAAUACCGGAGAAUGUUAUCACGGGAGACACACGGCGGGUGCUAACGUCCGUCGUGAAGAGGGAAACAACCCAGACCGCCAGCUAAGGUCCCAAAGUCAUGGUUAAGUGGGAAACGAUGUGGGAAGGCCCAGACAGCCAGGAUGUUGGCUUAGAAGCAGCCAUCAUUUAAAGAAAGCGUAAUAGCUCACUGGUCGAGUCGGCCUGCGCGGAAGAUGUAACGGGGCUAAACCAUGCACCGAAGCUGCGGCAGCGACGCUUAUGCGUUGUUGGGUAGGGGAGCGUUCUGUAAGCCUGUGAAGGUGUGCUGUGAGGCAUGCUGGAGGUAUCAGAAGUGCGAAUGCUGACAUAAGUAACGAUAAAGCGGGUGAAAAGCCCGCUCGCCGGAAGACCAAGGGUUCCUGUCCAACGUUAAUCGGGGCAGGGUGAGUCGACCCCUAAGGCGAGGCCGAAAGGCGUAGUCGAUGGGAAACAGGUUAAUAUUCCUGUACUUGGUGUUACUGCGAAGGGGGGACGGAGAAGGCUAUGUUGGCCGGGCGACGGUUGUCCCGGUUUAAGCGUGUAGGCUGGUUUUCCAGGCAAAUCCGGAAAAUCAAGGCUGAGGCGUGAUGACGAGGCACUACGGUGCUGAAGCAACAAAUGCCCUGCUUCCAGGAAAAGCCUCUAAGCAUCAGGUAACAUCAAAUCGUACCCCAAACCGACACAGGUGGUCAGGUAGAGAAUACCAAGGCGCUUGAGAGAACUCGGGUGAAGGAACUAGGCAAAAUGGUGCCGUAACUUCGGGAGAAGGCACGCUGAUAUGUAGGUGAAGUCCCUCGCGGAUGGAGCUGAAAUCAGUCGAAGAUACCAGCUGGCUGCAACUGUUUAUUAAAAACACAGCACUGUGCAAACACGAAAGUGGACGUAUACGGUGUGACGCCUGCCCGGUGCCGGAAGGUUAAUUGAUGGGGUCAGCGCAAGCGAAGCUCUUGAUCGAAGCCCCGGUAAACGGCGGCCGUAACUAUAACGGUCCUAAGGUAGCGAAAUUCCUUGUCGGGUAAGUUCCGACCUGCACGAAUGGCGUAAUGAUGGCCAGGCUGUCUCCACCCGAGACUCAGUGAAAUUGAACUCGCUGUGAAGAUGCAGUGUACCCGCGGCAAGACGGAAAGACCCCGUGAACCUUUACUAUAGCUUGACACUGAACAUUGAGCCUUGAUGUGUAGGAUAGGUGGGAGGCUUUGAAGUGUGGACGCCAGUCUGCAUGGAGCCGACCUUGAAAUACCACCCUUUAAUGUUUGAUGUUCUAACGUUGACCCGUAAUCCGGGUUGCGGACAGUGUCUGGUGGGUAGUUUGACUGGGGCGGUCUCCUCCUAAAGAGUAACGGAGGAGCACGAAGGUUGGCUAAUCCUGGUCGGACAUCAGGAGGUUAGUGCAAUGGCAUAAGCCAGCUUGACUGCGAGCGUGACGGCGCGAGCAGGUGCGAAAGCAGGUCAUAGUGAUCCGGUGGUUCUGAAUGGAAGGGCCAUCGCUCAACGGAUAAAAGGUACUCCGGGGAUAACAGGCUGAUACCGCCCAAGAGUUCAUAUCGACGGCGGUGUUUGGCACCUCGAUGUCGGCUCAUCACAUCCUGGGGCUGAAGUAGGUCCCAAGGGUAUGGCUGUUCGCCAUUUAAAGUGGUACGCGAGCUGGGUUUAGAACGUCGUGAGACAGUUCGGUCCCUAUCUGCCGUGGGCGCUGGAGAACUGAGGGGGGCUGCUCCUAGUACGAGAGGACCGGAGUGGACGCAUCACUGGUGUUCGGGUUGUCAUGCCAAUGGCACUGCCCGGUAGCUAAAUGCGGAAGAGAUAAGUGCUGAAAGCAUCUAAGCACGAAACUUGCCCCGAGAUGAGUUCUCCCUGACCCUUUAAGGGUCCUGAAGGAACGUUGAAGACGACGACGUUGAUAGGCCGGGUGUGUAAGCGCAGCGAUGCGUUGAGCUAACCGGUACUAAUGAACCGUGAGGCUUAACCUUACAACGCCGAAG